Non-coding RNA from Salmo salar (Atlantic salmon), 2991 nucleotides. The record is from RefSeq and is a predicted model, not a curated record. Lineage: Eukaryota; Metazoa; Chordata; Actinopteri; Salmoniformes; Salmonidae.
GUGUCUGGGUGUGCGCGUGCGACAGAGAAUGUUAACAGUACGUACAGUAUGUGAAUGUGUCCACAAAGUUGCAUUUUCUGUGUUGAGGUUAAAAGAGAAAGGGUACUUCCUCCUGCUCUAUUUUUAUCGGUUUCUCAUGCUGGCUGGAGUGGAGCUCUCCUUGGUCUCUUGUUGAUGACAGCCCAAAUCCAGGCAUACCUGUGUUCAAAUACAAUUUAAAAUAAUUUUAAAUACUUCAGUUUUGCUUGAUUGAACUUGACUGCUGCAAUGGAACCAAUGGAAUAGUCGCAAACUAUCUGGCACUCCAAGAAGAAACUCCAGGAAGGCUAAAGCAAACACUCAAAGUAUUUGGAAGAUUUCAAAUAGUGUUUGAACCCAGGUCUGAGCUCAGGCGAAGGUGGUCUUUCAGUUCCAGACAGCCAAAUGAAGUGCUCUCCUUUCCCCUCCUCUCUCUCUGUGCUGUAAAGAGGGGCUGCUUUGUGGCCUUCAACACCCCCACUCACUCCCCUCCCUCCACUCCAGCCCCCCUGUGUGGGAUCGCCUUGACGACAGGAAGUUUAUAUAUGUGAGUCAGAGAACAGAGGCAGGCGGAUGGGGGAGGGGCCUGCACCACGGUUCCCGGCACUCUCUCAUUCAGAGCACCGCUAAGCUGGCUAGGCUAAAAGGGCUAACACCUGAGCUGGGAGAGAAGGAAAACCCUUCUGCAAAACUUCCCGCUACAGGGAUCCACAGAAAGAAAAGACUGGGGGAAUUCUCUGCUGGCUAGAACACUCAGACUAGGGGGAAAAGGAAGAAAAGCCAAUCAGUAACAGUAAGGUACAGCUGUCGGGACUCCGGAGAGAGAGGCUAACCUCGGGACAGUUUUUAAAUAAGAUAGGAGAACUCUCAGCUAGCCACGGAGCACACUUUGCUGUCAAAGACUUCGUCAGGAGGACUCUUCAGGAAAGGAAAACCCCAGACCAAAUAUAGCAGAGCACACUCAGCACAGUCUGGAGGAGAAGGGGAGAGAGAAGGAGAACUGCCGGAGCCAAAUUUGACUGGACUUCACACUGGAAAUCAUCACUCCGUGUCGUCGGCUGAUUCUGUGUGCAGACAACAGGAAAGAGAUGGACUGGAUGGCAGCCCUGAAGAGUGUUCAGAACAGAGAACACUUUGAGAGCAUACAGUCUGGCAGUUUAUCGCCAGUUCCCCCUAUGGGCACAAGUGAGAAUUAGAAUUGGACGAGGUGUACGGCGUCUCAUCCCUGCGUGUGUUGUUUCUUCCAUAAGGCAACAUACCCAGAAGCAAAGGCCAGGCGUACCUGUAUGUUGCAGGUGAGUUUAUCUUCUCCAAGAAUCACAGGCAACAGCUCUCAAUCUCCACCGCCCAGCUGAUUGGCUCCACAGCAGCACAGCACCCCCUCCUUAGUGAUGUAGCUGAACCCUCAUCAACACCGUCUCUCCAGCAACACAGCACCCCCUCCUUAGUGAUGUAGCUGAACCCUCAUCAACACCGUCUCUCCAGCAGCACAGCACCCCCUCCUUAGUGAUGUAGCUGAACCCUCAUCAACACCGUCUCUCCAGCAGCACAGCACCCCCUCCUUCGCGGUGUAGCUCAACCCUCAGCAGCACCGUCUCUCCAGCAGCACAGCACCCCCUCCUUAGUGAUGUAGCUGAACCCGCAUCAACACCGUCUCUCCAGCAACACAGACAAAGACAAUAAACACACUGCAUUGGUCUUGCUGGUGCCUUCAAACCAAAACUAAUGAAACGUGGUGGAGGAAAUAUGUUGUUCUAACUUUUUCUUUGUCAACAUGAGCCCUGUGUUGUAUAAUGCUGAACCAUUGACCAAUAGUGUCCUCUACUGGUGCUUUCUGAGAGUGAGUCACACGUGAACUGGUGGGCAGGAUUGUAAAGUAAGUAGUCUCCAAUUCACUCAGACACUAACUGCUAGGCUUUUCCGGCUUCAAGCCACCCAGUCCAACAAAGCAAGGUCACAGCACCUUAUGGAACAGUAGCAUCUAUCCGAAAUGGACUCAAGUAGCCUCCUUCCUUGACAGGAUGGAAAGGAACUGUAAAGAUGCUGUUGUAUUUCAGAAGACAAUGAAACACAAAAUGUGACCUCUCUCACGUCAGUUAAAUUCAAAAGCCUUUAAUUGGUACUACAUUUGAGAAGUGAUGUUACAAAGCUUUUCACAUUUUCCACAGGUGAGAAGUGCUAUUCACAUGAAUAUGACCUGGAGUGAGAAACUAGAUCAGGUCCCGGUUUCCCAAAAGCAUCUUAAGGCUACGUUCAUUGAACUUAGCCUUAAAGCUGCAAUCAGCAGUAGACACAAUAACAAAGUGGCCUCCCCACUGCUGGUUCAGGUAAAAAGCUGAGGGAUGGGGCUGGAGAAAUUUAAGGACUGAUCAUACAUGAUAUCAAAAUCAUAGUUUUAACAACGUUUUGAGGCUAUAUAGUGUUUGUUUAAAUGUUCAUUGUUUACAAACACUGGUGUAAAACAAGCUUAUAUUUUGGUUCUGAUGGGGUAUGACAGUUCAUCUAAGCUCAUGAGGCAUUUAUGAAUUAUAUUAUUCAAGAAUCAAUGGGUACAUAUCAACUUCUAAGUCCAAAAAUGGAUGCAGCAACUGCUGAUUGCCCUAACCUUUGAUGCUUGCAGAUCUGAAACGGUCUGGACAGGCAUAACCAGUGUAGUACUGGUGGAGCUCCCACCAUAUUGCCUACUCCUUACGUAUCUGCAAACAUGCUGAGGCCAGAUCCACGUACUGGUUAGGACCAAAGGUGUAGGGAGCAUAUUGGGACCAACUGCAAGACAAGAGUUGGGCAAACUGAGAGGAGUAAGUUAAUGACCAGACAAAUACCAUAUACCAAGUACCUGUGCUACUUGUCAGGUGUCAGUGCUGUUAUCCAAUCAACAGAACGGUCAGGUGCCAGUGCUGUUACCUAAUCAAUAGACAACAGAACAGUGGUGUUUGAGUGCUUUUACUUAAUCAACAGAACUAUCAGGUGUCA